AAACAGCUGUCCAGGCCAACAGAGAAGAGGACUGGCCCACCCAAGAUCCUGCUAAUCCUCAUGGGGACUACAUUCUGAUCUGGGGUUUGGCGAAGAGCUGAAAGGAUUUCACCCUGAUGUGCACACUACUGAGUGACCCGCUCACCAGCGGCUCCGCUGAUUGCUUUGCACCUUGCAGACCUGCGAUUGGCUCAGCCUCUCUGCCGGCUCGCCUCCCUCCCUGGUCCCCAGCCCUCCCUGCCUGGCUUUUUCUUGAAGCAAGAAGAAAGGAGACCUAAUGGAGGAGUCACAAGUAGGGAGACGCCCCGAGCAAGCGGAACCAGCCGUGCCGGGAGUGGGAGCCCGAGCCUGAACCGGAGCUGACGCCUGAGCGAGCGCUGGAGCAGGCGGUGGAGCCUGGGGUGGAGCCGCGCGGAGCUCAGCCUGCGGAGGAGGGCGGACCCCAACCGGAGUGGAAGCCCGGGCAGGACCAGCGUGUGGUCCCAGAAUGGGGUCUGAUGGAAGGUGGGAGGAGAGCGGGGCGCGAGAGCCUGGGAUGCGGGCCAGGAGUCGCUCCCACAUCCUUCAUCCGCCAGGCCAGCCCAGAGCUAGGCCCGCCCUGGAGGGAGGGCUGGGCUAGACCUUCAGAGGCUGGAAACCUUGGACGGGCUCUCCAGUGGACCCCACCCCGCCCCCCAUUGUAUAAUUCAGUGCGAAACCGGACGAUAAAUGUGAGGAGUUUUAAUUUUUCCCGU
RNAcentral lists this long non-coding RNA (734 nucleotides) under Bos taurus (domestic cattle). RNAcentral describes it as "long non-coding RNA NONBTAT016106". Lineage: Eukaryota; Metazoa; Chordata; Mammalia; Artiodactyla; Bovidae. The record is from RNAcentral.